Molecule: long non-coding RNA, 224 nt
Filed under: Elaeis guineensis (African oil palm)
Lineage: Eukaryota; Viridiplantae; Streptophyta; Magnoliopsida; Arecales; Arecaceae
Description: long non-coding RNA (EGUI_LNC050724)
Source: RNAcentral
CUCUUCUUCUUCCGCUUGGAUCUCUAAAGCUAUCUAACUUUUUUUUUUAAUUUUUUCUUGACUUUCUACUGAAUUUUUCUUCUCUCCACUCUUAUUCCCAGACCUCCUAUUUAUAGAUAAAUUUUUUAUUUUUUUCUGAUCACCAAAGGAGUCUUAAAACUCUUAGAAAUCAUAUUAUACUCGUAUAAAUUAAUUCUGAUCAUUAGAUCUUCAAUGGACCAUUC